This 253-nucleotide ribosomal RNA is filed under the name uncultured bacterium. RNAcentral describes it as "partial 16S ribosomal RNA". It matches the Rfam family "Bacterial small subunit ribosomal RNA", at positions 524 to 776 of the family's 1533-position model. The record is from RNAcentral.
UACAGAGGUCUCAAGCGUUGUUCGGAUUCAUUGGGCGUAAAGGGUGCGUAGGUGGCGCGCUAAGUCAGGUGUGAAAUUUCGGAGCUUAACUCCGAAACUGCAUUUGAUACUGGCGUGCUUGAGGACUGGAGAGGAGAUUGGAAUUCAUGGUGUAGCAGUGAAAUGCGUAGAGAUCAUGAGGAAGACCAGUGGCGAAGGCGGGUCUCUGGACAGUUCCUGACACUGAGGCACGAAGGCCAGGGGAGCAAACGGG